Molecule: ribosomal RNA, 119 nt
Filed under: Lottia gigantea (owl limpet)
Lineage: Eukaryota; Metazoa; Mollusca; Gastropoda; Lottiidae
Source: RNAcentral
GUCUACGGCCAUACCACGUUGAAAGCACCAGUUCUCGUCCGAUCAAUGAAGUUAAGCGACGUCGGGCUCGGUUAAUAAUUGGAUGGGUGACCGCCUUGGAACACCGAGUGCUGUAGACG